CAAGGAAAUUCUCCAGAGCAUAUUCAAGGAACUCUUUCCUCAAUGUAAAGAGAAGCUGUCAGUGAUGUAGGUGCACCAGUGGAAGUGGGUGCUGGAGUUACCCCCACAGGCUCCUCCACAGCCUGUCCAGGAACUGUGAUCGUGAUGGAACAGUUCAUCAAAACUACCAACCACCUCUGCAACCUGAUUGUCAUUCUCCCUUGAAGCUCACUCAUAAGAAGAGGUCCAAUACCAGAAGACACAAACAAAGAAGACCAAAGGCUUCCACUCAUGGCCGGUGCACCAUUACUAAAGAAAAAAAAUGUCAUU
Molecule: long non-coding RNA, 309 nt
Organism: Talpa occidentalis (Iberian mole)
Lineage: Eukaryota; Metazoa; Chordata; Mammalia; Eulipotyphla; Talpidae
Exons: 3
Source: RefSeq, a predicted model, not a curated record